GGUACAAAGGGCAGCCACUCAGCGAUGAGGCGCUAAUCCCAUAAAGCCGGUCUCAGUCUGGAUCGCAGUCUGCAACUCGACUGCGUGAAGUUGGAAUCGCUAGUAAUCGUAGAUCAGCAUGCUACGGUGAAUACGUUCCCGGGCCUU
This 147-nucleotide ribosomal RNA is filed under the name uncultured Desulfovibrio sp. RNAcentral's name for it is "partial 16S ribosomal RNA". It matches the Rfam family "Bacterial small subunit ribosomal RNA", at positions 1236 to 1382 of the family's 1533-position model. Lineage: Bacteria; Pseudomonadati; Thermodesulfobacteriota; Desulfovibrionia; Desulfovibrionales; Desulfovibrionaceae. The record is from RNAcentral.